RNAcentral lists this ribosomal RNA (2468 nucleotides) under Triticum aestivum (bread wheat). RNAcentral describes it as "partial small subunit ribosomal RNA". Lineage: Eukaryota; Viridiplantae; Streptophyta; Magnoliopsida; Poales; Poaceae. The record is from RNAcentral.
CAAGAAAGUCUUUGUUUUGAAAGAUCUCUGGUGAGGUAAACGGGACGACAGGACCGUCAUGUAUAUAUUCACUAUUAGGUGUGUUUCUUACCUUUCGGUAGGUAUUUAUUUCUUUUCCGGUAGAAGAUAGAUGGAGAUCUUCGUAUCGACAUCGACCGAACUCAUCGGUAGUAGUAGUAGUAGGGUUUCUUCUUCUCCUCCUUCUUCUUCUACGUUCUGACCCCAGGCCACGAGUAGAGGAAGUACGAGAAGUAGGAAGAUAGGGGCCCCGAGGAGAAGGUCUAGGGGCCGUUUAGUGCCUGCUAGCUCACGCCGUUUAAGGUGUGCUCGCAUCAGAGGUAGGAGUAGGUGUGGUAGUAGAAGACGCGCGAGUUACGGAAGAAGGAGUAACAGCAACCGCAGGCGUAGCUCAAGCCGAGGAGUAGUACUCAUCAUCUCAUGGGGCGAAGUGGGACAAGAUGGACAAAUAAAAAGAGAAAGAGACAGAGCAAACCAAGAACGACGAACAAUUAAUCAAACGGACACGAGUGACCCUAUACAAUGUACCAUUUUAUGGGCGUAUACAAUGUACCACCUUAGUACACUCAAAACAUAAUAACUCUAAAUUGUUGUCGCAAUGACAUAUACAGUCCCUAGUAUGAAAAAGCAAUUACCUAAAAAAAUAAUCACAUAGUUCGACAAUGUUUAUCUAUUUAACCCGAUCUGUAGUUUCAAUAUGCCGUUUCUUAAUGAAGGAAACAACGUACAUCACUUAUUAGUGAAAUAAAACAACAGAUAGAGAAACAAUACAACGAUAAUACGCCUCUGGCCUUCAAAAUACGAGAAAAGCUAAAAAGAAAGAAGAAUACAGUGACAACUGUAUACGUAACACUACCUGUACCUUUACCUUGUUCUUUAGGUUUUGUAGUACAUAUGUCAUGUUCGUUCAAAACUGGUAGGUAGGAUAUUCGUCUCGUCCUCGUCAAUCCAAAGCUUUGCGUAGGUUUGUUAUAUAUUAAUACAAUAAGACAAAUGUCUGUGUUAAUUAAUACAAUCUUCUCAAUAUAAUUAACGACAGCGACUAUACUAUUGUUGAGUUAAAUCAGCGUUCUUACCGAGUUUCAUUCUUUAGAUUUCUAGUAGGAUUGUCUUCAAACGCAUAAUGUCCUUUACACGUAUGUAUUGUUACACCUCCAGACAGGUAUAGUUCGUCGUUGUGUUCAGUUUAUAUUUGUGAACUUUAGUGCGUCGUUAUUUUUUCCUGCAUGUAACUAAACCCGACCUUUGAAAUAGGUCGAAUUAACCAAGAGUGUAUAUAAGCGACCUCAUAUACACAGCAACCUCAUAUAUACCAACGACGUUUAAGUCCGUAGUUUAGUAAGUUUAUAAACACCAUCUCUUUUGUCCAGGUCCGCCCCAGUACAGGAACUGGUCGUGUUUUAAACAAAGAAAAUCCACAACACACAGUAGAUGUAUUAAACAAAAGAAAUAGGAGAUGGUGAUAGAAAAAAAGGUUACCUUUCGCUUCGUACCUCGAACUCCAUCUUAUACGACCCUAACCAAGUCCUAAACCGUUAGUAGAAGUAUGGAUUCUUUACAAAGGUAACUAAUUUAGUUACACCUUGUUAAGUCUUUCCAGAAAUAGAGAAACACUCCUUUUUUUUACCUCCCACUGUCCGUAGUCCUGAGCGAGAACAGCCUCGGGGGGAGGGGGAAUAGAUAACCGGCCUAGGAACCACACGUGGACCUUGAAAUGCUACAGUACCGGUCCGACCUUACUGCAACUGAAACACGUUAACCACUUCUAAUAAAUCAGAAACAACUGGAACCAGGAGUACAGUCGUUAGAGGAAGAAACGAUUCCGGUAACGGAGCCGGAGCUGGCGAUCUUGGUUGCACCAGAAGACUCAGAAUACUCUAGCGAGUUACAAGGGGUUCUACUACUGCUGUAAGCCCGGACUGUAGAACUCGAAGAACAUUCGUAUUACACACUGCUACGGUUUCGCGCGCUUGCGCCAGACUGUGCUCCUCCCUCACUAUUGGUGUGAACUUUCCCUGAUGCAGUUUCGAAUCUCCUAGGUUUGUCAUCUGCAUACUCCAUGGCUUGUGGGGCAGACCACACUGGGAAGAUCACGCGGAGUACGGGCACUAUAUAUUAUGGGAACUUGAACCAAAAGUGGUCGAGCUAUGUACUGAACAGCUUCACGUAGAAAGAGUCACAUAGCUGCAUCGACUCCAAGUUCGAGCUACUCCACCUUUGACAACUUAUAGCCCAGGUUCUGUUCACGCCCGUUUGGCGGUACCACCUGCUAUCAGACCACCAGUACUGUUUAUGUACACUAGUCCUAAAAGUUGGUUCCUAACAUAAAACCGAGUUUCCUGAGGUGCCUUAUAUGGAGCACCUGUCGUGCGAAAGCUAGAAAGAACCUCCACACUCUACCUAUUUAGAAUAAAUGUAGGAAACAAACAUCACCCAUGACGAAGACGGAC